UUUCCGUAGGUGAACCUGCGGAAGGAUCAUCCAUAAUAAGUGCUUUAUGACACUUUUUUAAAUCCAUAUCCACCUUGUGUGCAAUGACAGGGUUGAUUCUUCUCUCGAUAGGGUCAGCCCCAAACAUCAACUAUAUCUCAACUCUUUGUCUGAAAAAUAUUAUGACCAAAACAAUUCAAAAUACAACUUUCAACAACGGAUCUCUUGGCUCUC
This 213-nucleotide unclassified non-coding RNA is filed under the name plant metagenome. RNAcentral's name for it is "partial contains small subunit ribosomal RNA, internal transcribed spacer 1, and 5.8S ribosomal RNA". The record is from RNAcentral.